This 308-nucleotide ribosomal RNA is filed under the name uncultured bacterium. RNAcentral describes it as "partial 16S ribosomal RNA". It matches the Rfam family "Bacterial small subunit ribosomal RNA", at positions 505 to 807 of the family's 1533-position model. The record is from RNAcentral.
GAGACAGCAGCAGCCACGGGAAUACGAAGGGUGCAAGCGUUACUCGGAAUUACUGGGCGUAAAGCGUGCGUAGGUGGUGGUUUAAGUCCGUUGUGAAAGCCCUGGGCUCAACCUGGGAAUUGCAGUGGAUACUGGAUCACUAGAGUGUGGUAGAGGAUAGUGGAAUUUCCGGUGUAGCAGUGAAAUGCGUAGAGAUCGGAAGGAACAUCUGUGGCGAAGGCGACUAUCUGGGCCAACACUGACACUGAGGCACGAAAGCGUGGGGAGCAAACAGGAUUAGAUACCCCUGUAGUCCCUGUCUCUUAUAC